CUCCUUUUCCUGGUGGCUUUCUUCAUACAUGAGCGGCGGCGCCGCCGUCCUUGUCUCCAGGGGAUUCUUGUCGCCGCCACCCCCUCACCCAGCCAAGUCACCUGACGAGCGCCGCUGCCCAAGUCACCGCCGCCCCUCCUCAUCAGCGAGAUCCUAGCCAUGCUCGCCGGACGGCCACGCCUCCCAGGUCGUCGUUCCAAGACCUCCGCACGGUCCUCUCAAUUUUCGUUCCCCGCGUGUCCACCGUCCUCGUUUUCCACCGUGAGUUGAUCCCCAGCGCCUUCUUCCCCGUCUGCGCUGCUCCACCGCCAACGGGAACGUCCGCGCGUGCCCCAGCUCGUCUGCGCUACUCCACCGCCGCCGGGGACGUCCGUACGUUCCCAGCUCGUCUGCGGUGCUCCGCCGCCGCAGGGGACGUCCGCGUGUAUUCCAGAUCCAAGGCCGUUGUCGUCCUCGCCAGUGACGCCUUCUCGGUACGGCAACUCCUCCAGUUAACUGAUUGAUUUGCAUACUUUGUCGCGCACAGAAUUAGGGGUGACUGAACUGAGAACCAGUUCCUAUGUGCAGGCUUCGAGCUGCGAAACUUGAGGUAAUUCUAUUCCGUUCCAGAGUUUUGUCAGCUGUGUACCAAUAGAUACACACAGGCGUAUUGUAGCUUCCGUUAACAUCACUCUGAAAGGCGCUGGGCUCGUUAGCUAUAUGCUGACAAAUUAGAUCAAUAGGGGAAAUACACAUGUUCUCUCACUCUGUCUGUGAAGUGUAUUUACUUAAUGUUAGUGCUAACUGGAACCUUCAUUCAUGAACGACCACUGCUGCUAAUACCUACUAUUUGCAUAGACCCAGUAAACUAAACUUUUCCCAUGUAGUUGUCAGUGUUUAUUAUAGUAAGGAGCGCUCUAAAGUAUAAUGCUAGAUUGUGACAACAGUUUCUUGUUUUGCACUUUGCAGUAUGUAAUGGGCAGAUCAGAUGAGGACUUGAAAACACCCUUUGGCAUUAAAAUUCUGGACAAACUAACUCAGACUUGGGUUGUGCUAAGAGUAGUUGGGGCUUAGCCUCCAUCCAAGUCGCACGAAGCAAUUCUUGUAAAGGAUGAGAAGAUAUUGAUUGUUGAGAACUGGACAAAAUCCUACAGAAAAGAUUGAGGAACCGGUUGCUUGCAUUUUGCUUGCACUGAAACUGGAGUAGCAAUUUCUGCUCACCCAUCUGUCUUUCCCUUUCCUGCUAGUUGAAUGUAUCAUUUUGUUGUGUGAAUGUUGUGGAGCAGCAAAUAUUUUUAUCAACAUUCUAUGAGGAAACAUCGCAGUGUAACUGAGAUUGCGCAUUGUAUUUUAUUUCAUUGUUUGGAAAUGGGAAACCUGUAUUGCAUCUG
Long non-coding RNA from Lolium perenne, 1370 nucleotides. RefSeq lists it as uncharacterized. NCBI's taxonomy places the organism in Eukaryota, Viridiplantae, Streptophyta, Magnoliopsida, Poales, Poaceae. The record is from RefSeq and is a predicted model, not a curated record.